This 443-nucleotide ribosomal RNA is filed under the name uncultured bacterium. RNAcentral describes it as "partial 16S ribosomal RNA". It matches the Rfam family "Bacterial small subunit ribosomal RNA", at positions 338 to 795 of the family's 1533-position model. The record is from RNAcentral.
CCUACGGGGGGCAGCAGUGGGGAAUAUUGGUCAAUGGGCGGAACCCUGAACCAGCGACGCCGCGUGAGUGAAGAAGUAUCUCGGUAUGUUAAGCCUCUUUUGCAGGGAAGCAAGAAAUGACGGUACUUGACUAAGAAGCCCCGGCUAACUACGAGCCAGCAGCCGCGGCAAUACGUAGGGGGCAAGCGUUAUCCGGAUUUACUGGGUGUAAAGGGAGCGUAGACGGCGAUGCAAGUCUGAAGUGAAAGGCGGGGGCCCCACCCCCGGACUGCUUUGGAAACUGUCUGGCUGGAGUGCAGGAGAGGUAUGUGGAAUUCGUGGUGUAGCGGUGAAAUGCAUAGAUAUUAGGAAGAACCCCGAUGGCGAAGGCAGCUUGCUGGCCUCUAACUGACGUUGAGGCUCGAAAGCGUGGGGAGCGAACAGGAUUAGAUACCCGAGUAGUC